AGCCUAGUGGUUUAGUGGUAUAGUUACCCCCUGCCAAGGGGUAGGCCGAUUCGAUUCCUGACUAUGUGA
Non-coding RNA from Sphaeroforma arctica JP610, 69 nucleotides. Lineage: Eukaryota; Ichthyosporea; Ichthyophonida. The record is from the annotation of a RefSeq genome assembly.